This 628-nucleotide ribosomal RNA is filed under the name uncultured Alphaproteobacteria bacterium. RNAcentral's name for it is "bacterial SSU rRNA". It matches the Rfam family "Bacterial small subunit ribosomal RNA", at positions 91 to 754 of the family's 1533-position model. Lineage: Bacteria; Pseudomonadati; Pseudomonadota; Alphaproteobacteria. The record is from RNAcentral.
GGCAGUGGCAGACGGGUGAGUAACGCGUGGGAAUCUACCUAGUUCUGCGGAACAACAGUUGGAAACGACUGCUAAUACCGCAUACGCCCUACGGGGGAAAGAUUUAUCGGAAUUAGAUGAGCCCGCGUAAGAUUAGCUAGUUGGUGGGGUAAUGGCCUACCAAGGCGACGAUCUUUAGCUGGUCUGAGAGGAUGAUCAGCCACACUGGGACUGAGACACGGCCCAGACUCCUACGGGAGGCAGCAGUGGGGAAUAUUGGACAAUGGGCGCAAGCCUGAUCCAGCCAUGCCGCGUGAGUGAUGAAGGCCUUAGGGUUGUAAAGCUCUUUCAGUGGGGAAGAUAAUGACGGUACCCACAGAAGAAGCCCCGGCUAACUUCGUGCCAGCAGCCGCGGUAAUACGAAGGGGGCUAGCGUUGUUCGGAUUUACUGGGCGUAAAGCGCACGUAGGCGGAUUGGUCAGUUAGGGGUGAAAUCCUGGAGCUCAACUCCAGAACUGCCUUUAAUACUGCCAGUCUCGAGUCCGGAAGAGGUAAGUGGAACUCCUAGUGUAGAGGUGGAAUUCGUAGAUAUUAGGAAGAACACCAGUGGCGAAGGCGGCUUACUGGUCCGGUACUGACGCUGAGGUGC